AUCCAUCUGACGAGCCCCAAAUAGGACAGAAUGCACGUCCUGGAU
RNAcentral lists this non-coding RNA (45 nucleotides) under Schistosoma mansoni. Lineage: Eukaryota; Metazoa; Platyhelminthes; Trematoda; Strigeidida; Schistosomatidae. The record is from RNAcentral.